This 242-nucleotide ribosomal RNA is filed under the name uncultured bacterium. RNAcentral describes it as "partial 16S ribosomal RNA". It matches the Rfam family "Bacterial small subunit ribosomal RNA", at positions 93 to 334 of the family's 1533-position model. The record is from RNAcentral.
CCCGGGCGCACGGGUGAGUAACGCGUAUGCAACUUACCUAUCAGAGGGGGAUAACCCGGCGAAAGUCGGACUAAUACCGCAUGAAGCAGGGAUCCCGCAUGGGAAUAUUUGCUAAAGAUUCAUCGCUGAUAGAUAGGCAUGCGUUCCAUUAGGCAGUUGGCGGGGUAACGGCCCACCAAACCGACGAUGGAUAGGGGUUCUGAGAGGAAGGUCCCCCACAUUGGUACUGAGACACGGACCAA